GGUAACCUUGCCUGUAAGAACUGGGAUAACUCCGGGAAACCGGGGCUAAUACCGGAUGCUUGAUUGAACCGCAUGGUUCAAUCAUGAAAGGCGGCUUCGGCUGCCGUUUACAGAUGGACCCGCGGCGCAUUAGCUAGUUGGUGAGGUAACGGCUCACCAAGGCGACGAUGCGUAGCCGACCUGAGAGGGUGAUCGGCCACACUGGGACUGAGACACGGCCCAGACUCCUACGGGAGGCAGCAGUAGGGAAUCUUCCGCAAUGGACGAAAGUCUGACGGAGCAACGCCGCGUGAGUGAU
Molecule: ribosomal RNA, 298 nt
Filed under: Bacillus sp. CSu1_47
Lineage: Bacteria; Bacillati; Bacillota; Bacilli; Caryophanales; Bacillaceae
Description: partial 16S ribosomal RNA
Rfam family: Bacterial small subunit ribosomal RNA
Source: RNAcentral